GAUGAACGCUAGCUACAGGCUUAACACAUGCAAGUCGCGGGGCAGCAUGGGGGUUGCUUGCAAUCCCCGAUGGCGACCGGCGCACGGGUGAGUAACGCGUAUCCAACCUGCCCUUCACCACGGGAUAACCCGGCGAAAGUCGGACUAAUACCGUAUGUUGUCCAUUGACGGCAUCCGAUUUGGACGAAAGGCUUGGCGGUGAGGGAUGGGGAUGCGUCCGAUUAGCCAGACGGCGGGGUAACGGCCCACCGUGGCUACGAUCGGUAGGGGCUCUGAGAGGAAGGUCCCCCACACUGAACUGAGACACGGUCCAGACUCCUACGGGAGGCAGCAGUGAGGAAUAUGGGUCAAUGGGCGUAAGCCUGAACCAGCCAAGUAGCGUGCAGGAGGACGGCCCUAUGGGUUGUAAACUGCUUUUAUGCGGGGAUAAAGUGGCCCACGUGUGGGCUUUUGCAGGUACCGCAUGAAUAAGGACCGGCUAAUUCCGUG
This 489-nucleotide ribosomal RNA is filed under the name uncultured bacterium. RNAcentral describes it as "partial 16S ribosomal RNA". It matches the Rfam family "Bacterial small subunit ribosomal RNA", at positions 28 to 507 of the family's 1533-position model. The record is from RNAcentral.